RNAcentral lists this ribosomal RNA (710 nucleotides) under uncultured bacterium. Its description in RNAcentral is "bacterial SSU rRNA". It matches the Rfam family "Bacterial small subunit ribosomal RNA", at positions 9 to 765 of the family's 1533-position model. The record is from RNAcentral.
GAGUUUGAUCAUGGCUCAGAACGAACGCUGGCGGCAGGCCUAACACAUGCAAGUCGAACGCUGUAGCAAUACAGAGUGGCAGACGGGUGAGUAACGCGUGGGAACCUUCCCAGUGGUGCGGAAUAGCUCAGGGAAACUUGAGGUAAUACCGCAUAAGCCCCUAGGGGGAAAGAUUUAUCGCCAUUGGAUGGGCCCGCGUCGGAUUAGCUAGUUGGUGAGGUAAUGGCUCACCAAGGCAACGAUCCGUAGCUGGUUUGAGAGAAUGACCAGCCACACUGGGACUGAGACACGGCCCAGACUCCUACGGGAGGCAGCAGUGGGGAAUCUUGGACAAUGGGCGCAAGCCUGAUCCAGCCAUGCCGCGUGAGUGACGAAGGCCUUAGGGUUGUAAAGCUCUUUUGCCGGGGACGAUAAUGACGGUACCCGGAGAAUAAGUCCCGGCUAACUUCGUGCCAGCAGCCGCGGUAAUACGAAGGGGACUAGCGUUGUUCGGAAUUACUGGGCGUAAAGCGCACGUAGGCGGAUUUGUUAGUCAGGGGUGAAAUCCCGGGGCUCAACCUCGGAACUGCCUUUGAUACUGCAAAUCUCGAGUCCGAUAGAGGUGGGUGGAAUUCCUAGUGUAGAGGUGAAAUUCGUAGAUAUUAGGAAGAACACCGGUGGCGAAGGCGGCCCACUGGAUCGGUACUGACGCUGAGGUGCGAAAGCGUGGG